AACACUUCUUGUCUCAUUUACUUCGUUUUGGUUUCCCCUUGAUUUUCUAUAAAUUAUUUUCGAUUUGCAAGAACGGAACUCUGAAAUAAUUCUUCUGUCAUUUCUGAUACAUGUGUAUAUAUUAGUUUGUAUAUUCAAUAAUUUAUGCAUAUCUAGAAUACAAGUUAUAACUAAAUUCUUCACACAAAUUUGAAAAUCAACACAAUUUCAAGGGCAUGCAAAGCAAGGUUAAAGCAAAACAACGACAAACACAGAUGCAUGAGUAUGAGGACUCGAUAUAAAUGAAUGAUUUGGAAAGGAAACUCUGAUAACCUAAAAAAUAAAUCAAAACAAAUGGACCCACGCACAAUGAGAUAUCGGAUGAAACGAAAAAAAUUUAAAAACUAGAACGCUAAUGGAGUGUAAAUGUACGAUGGUGAAGAGCGAUUGGGGCGGUACUAACUACACGUAAUGAUUCCGCAUGAGCAGAUGUGAACUCGGUUCUAGAUAACAAAUGAUAACUUAAAUAUCUCCCAAUGUCGAAAUGGCGUCAAGGUUGCCUUGUACACAUACAUACAUAUAUAUGCUCUGUUGUGGGUUAAUUAUUAAGUGUGCCUGUGGCGCCGUUCGAGCAACGAUGUAUAUCAAGUGUAUAGCAAACGAAUAAUUGAGCGUCGAAUUAAGUAAGUGUCGAGACGCAAAAAGAGAAUUGAACUGUCAAGACUUAAAACGAUAGCAAUCACGCAUACAAAUGUAGAACAGAAUCCAGCGACACAAAUCCAUUUUGGCGACAAAGUCGUUGCUUGCGUAAUUGCCAAGCCACUGACACAGCAACUCAGCAGCCGAGAUGUCUGACACUCCGCUGGAAGGAGGUUAGGAGAAAAUCAACGCGCUGUGGGUAACGCUUAGUAGACGCCAAGACGUCUACGGGCGGUAGGUAAGGGAGCUUCAAGCCGAAAUACGGUACUGUCCGUCUGUAUGCUCAGCAAGAGGCAAACAGCAAAGGCAGCGCGCGAACAAAGGGAGAGAGCGAAAAGAAAACUAAACAAAAUGAGAGCAGUGAGUUUCGCAUUGAAACCGCAUUUUCCAACAACUCUUAAGCACAGCAGGUAAAAUUUUGCCACAACAUACUUGCUGAUGCUUUUACCUAGGAGGUAGGUGGGUAGCUCUAGUGAUGACUACGGUUAUUUGUCCUCGGACAAGUUCUACUUUUCGGUGCUAACUUCUCUAAUCAGGCACACCACCAAGCGCAACAACAAUGUCACAUACACCCGUAUAGUUAAGCGACUCUCCCUCUUGCGGGGGUUGCGGUUCUCCACGGCAACGAAGACAUAAAUAGAAAGAAACUUUUUGGUUAUCUUCUUGUGUAAUUAUUGUCUUCUUUUUGGGAUUUUUGUGUCAUUCUUGAAUGAUAACACAGCGGCGGAGAAACUAAAAGAAAACCUCGAGACAGUGACAGGGGCAAUGGCGGUGGCACAUAGUUAUUGCUGAGGCGGCAAAGCUGCCAAAAACACAACUACAUAUAUAUACAUAUAUAUAUAUAUAUAUACUUGUAUAUAUAUAAAUAUAUAAAUAAGUUUGUGUGUGCGUACGAGUCGUCGAAAACAAUGAAAAAGUGCAGAAAGAAUGGGCGAAAGUAGCUCAAGAAGAAGAUGGUAGAGCUGCGGCCAGCCCAGGGCAUUAUUAGUUACAGUUAUUGCUCGCUGAAGGUUGUAGAUGUGUGACACAUUGCGUGUGUGUGCGGCACUACAGAGGCAGAGUUAAAAAUAAGCCGACAAUUAUUGCAAUGUAUUCUGCGUAUCCACAGUUCUGAGUGCAUGCGCCAAGGUUGAGCAUGCGCUGCUCCACUCUUAUGUAAAUAUAAACAUAUUUAUUUGGAUAUACAUACAUAUCUACACAUGAGAGUGUGUGUUUUCGUGUAAUUUUAAAUGAUUGAUAAUUAUGUCGCCUUUGUCGGUGCAUGUUCACUAACUCACUCGGUUUAACCAUCACAGAAUUUAAUGAGUUUCGGCAUUACUUGUAUGUAAUCAGUUUAGGACAAUAUAGAACGAAGACUAGGACCAUUAUAUAGGCAUCCAGAAAAGUGAACACCCGUUGCAAAAUAAUAGCACUGUAUUCAAAAUUGUAUGGUAUAUAGCGUUAGACGGUACGUGUUCAAUGAGCAGCAAACAUCGGCAUUUGUGGUUUGCUCCGGUCAGCCCCAAAAGUUAACCUCAAUGUCAUUUCUAUAUGGCUUUAUUAGACGAUACACCUAGUUUUACUACGAAAGAUUCUAGCAAACACAGGGAAGUUGCGAGCUCUGAAAUUCUUCCCAUCUUCGAUAGAAUUACGGAUAAUCUAAUAAUAAUAAUCACUCCGUUGUUAAGCCAAUAACUAGUAGUUUCUAUUCUAUGAUCUUACUUGCGAGUUUCAUGUAGUGGAUCUACUAGAUUCCGCCACUUCUCUGGUGGCUUCGCUACUGAUGAGGGAAUAUUUUUCCUUAGCUUCAGAUAUUCGGACCACUGCAGCGUUUAUCAAGCAGGGGCUGAAGCGAAGCCCAGAGGAAAUAUUGGUGGAGAAAUCUUUUUCUUAAGUUUCAGCAGGGAUGACUGCUAUCAAGGUAGAAGAGUGGCGAAACUGUGUUUGAACUUGCUGACUGUAUGCUUAGCACUAGUAAAGGAAUGUUCAACUUAAUCAUUAAUGUCAUCAAGCUAUUUCUGGAUGCAAGUUACUAGAAACUGUACAGCUCCGCUAUCCUAUGCCUCUUGCUUCUAGGACUGGACGGCUGCGCUUGUCGUGAGUUUAAUGAGUACUUGUGCGGCUGCGAGGAGAAAUCUUUUGAACUACUUGCCCUCAGCAAUAUUCAUUUUACUCCAAAUGUAGGGAUUUUAGCCGGAUAUUGCCCAUUGGACAUACAUAUGUACUCGUAUAUGCGGAUCUAGACUUAUGAAUAAUAACUUUGGGCGCCACCAGGAAUGGUUGUUUAAAAUGUUCAAGUGUGACUGUCGUGAUUUGCGUCCCAGAUACAAGUCCCGAGAUUGAACUUUUUCUAAGAUUUUAUAUCUACUCGUUUUAUCAAGAAAUUCGGACGAGCUAAGUGACCAAUUUAAAAGUAGACGGCAUUCAGUCAGGACGAGUUCUUUAACAUAAUAUUUGUGAGGUUAGGUACAGUCCUUUAUUAGAAUUAAAAAUCUGCUGCCACCUAGCAAUCCAAUACAGAAUGUUGCGAGUGACCAAAUACCACUUUAGACUAAGUGGGCUAUAGACCUUUAUUGACGAGACACCAUUCGAAUAAUUCUUACUACGAGCCUACGAACUUUCUGGAUGUCAACACUUGAAGAGAACUUUUCAAGUCACACGAAUAUUUUUACCAUGAUCAUCAAGAAAAGAAACACUGUUAAUGAAUAUCAAUAUGAAAUAAGUUUAUUCAACACAACCCCCUAAUAAAUUGAAUUCCAAG
Long non-coding RNA from Bactrocera oleae (olive fruit fly), 3418 nucleotides. RefSeq lists it as uncharacterized. Lineage: Eukaryota; Metazoa; Arthropoda; Insecta; Diptera; Tephritidae. The record is from RefSeq and is a predicted model, not a curated record.